UACGUAGGGUGCAAGCGUUGUCCGGAAUUAUUGGGCGUAAAGAGCUCGUAGGCGGCUUGUCGCGUCGACUGUGAAAACCCGGGGCUCAACUCCGGGCCUGCAGUCGAUACGGGCUGGCUUGAGUGCGGUAGGGGAGACUGGAAUUCCUGGUGUAGCGGUGAAAUGCGCAGAUAUCAGGAGGAACACCGGUGGCGAAGGCGGGUCUCUGGGCCUUACCUGACGCUGAGGAGCGAAAGCAGGGGGAGCAAACAGG
RNAcentral lists this ribosomal RNA (253 nucleotides) under uncultured bacterium. Its description in RNAcentral is "partial 16S ribosomal RNA". It matches the Rfam family "Bacterial small subunit ribosomal RNA", at positions 524 to 776 of the family's 1533-position model. The record is from RNAcentral.